GUGAUUGCCUUCAUUGGCUUAUAACUAUAUCCAUCUACACCUGUGAACCGUUUGACUGAAUCCUCUGGAUUUAGUUUUACAAACAUUGUGUAAUGAACGUCAUUAGAUCAUAACAGAAAA
This 120-nucleotide unclassified non-coding RNA is filed under the name uncultured Trichosporon. RNAcentral's name for it is "sequence contains ITS1". The record is from RNAcentral. Lineage: Eukaryota; Fungi; Basidiomycota; Tremellomycetes.